CGAGUGAAGCGGCAACAGCUCAAAUUUGAAAUCUGGCGCAAGCCCGAGUUGUAAUUUGUAGAGGAUGCUUCUGGCCCAGCGGCCGUUCUAAGUUCCUUGGAACAGGACGUCAUAGAGGGUGAGAAUCCCGUAUGUGACCGGCGCGCAGCCUUUACGUAGCUCCUUCGACGAGUCGAGUUGUUUGGGAAUGCAGCUCUAAAUGGGAGGUAAAUUUCUUCUAAAGCUAAAUACCGGCCAGAGACCGAUAGCGCACAAGUAGAGUGAUCGAAAGAUGAAAAGCACUUUGGAAAGAGAGUUAAAAAGCACGUGAAAUUGUUGAAAGGGAAGCGCUUGCAACCAGACUUCGUAGCGAUGUUCCGCUGGUCUUUUGACCGGUCUACUCAUCGUCGCGAGGCCAACAUCGUCUGGGCCCGCUGGAUAAGACCUAAGGAAUGUAGCUUCCCUCGGGAAGUGUUAUAGCCUGUGGUGAUGCAGCGCGGCUCGGGCGAGGUCCGCGCUUCGGCAAGGAUGUUGGCGUAAUGGUUGUCAGCGGCCCGUCUUGAAACACGGACCAAGGAGUCUAACAUCUAUGCGAGUGUUCGGGUGUCAAACCCCUACGCGUAAUGAAAGUGAACGGAGGUGGGAAGCGCAAGCUGCACCAUCGACCGAUCCUGAUGUCCUCGGAUGGAUUUGAGUAAGAGCAUAGCUGUUGGGACCCGAAAGAUGGUGAACUAUGCCUGAAUAGGGUGAAGCCAGAGGAAAACUCUGGUGGAGGCUCGCAGCGGUUCUGACGUGCAAAUCGAUCGUCAAAUUUGGGUAUAGGGGCGAAAGACUAAUC
This 817-nucleotide ribosomal RNA is filed under the name Paracercosporidium microsorum. RNAcentral describes it as "eukaryotic LSU rRNA". It matches the Rfam family "Eukaryotic large subunit ribosomal RNA", at positions 90 to 936 of the family's 3401-position model. The record is from RNAcentral. Lineage: Eukaryota; Fungi; Ascomycota; Dothideomycetes; Mycosphaerellales; Mycosphaerellaceae.